ACUUCUAAUAAAACAAAACCAACUUAUGCCACAUGGCAUUUGCUUAGGCCACUUAAUGCCACGUGGCAUCCUAAUACUCCCUAAUGAAAAAAAUUGAGCGCUAAAACUAGAAGUGUCCUCCGCUCUUUUUCUUAGCCAGCUACACAAUCAAUUGCAUUGAUUUGGAGUUUCCUUUUUGAUUCUCCCAUUAUUGAAAGUUGUUACAAUCACGAACCCUAAAUCCAGAAUUAACACACACCUUUCUUUUCAUCCUUUGCCUCCUUACAGUUUUCUCUCUUUGAAAAACCCUAGAUCUCAUCUCUUUACAAUCAAAAGUAACCUGGGCUCGAUAGAUGAUUCUUUUUUCUUCAUUCGAUCAAAACAGGAGAUUUUCGGUAAGUUUACAUCAUCCUCUUUGAUUAAUUUUGAUUUCGAUUGGUUGAAAUUACAGAAAACUUCAAACGGAGCUCGCCGGAGAGUUGGCCGGAGGAGUGACGGUGGUGGUCGGAGUAAAGCUAGAUGAGCAUAGCAGGGUGAGGAACUUGAAAGCAUUGCAGACUUUGGUUCCAAAUUCUAACAAGAUUGAUAAGGCUUCAAUGUUGGAUGAAACUAUUGAGUAUCUGAAGCAGCUUCAACUGAAAGUACAGUGUAUGCAGCUCCAGGCUCAAAAUCGUUUCAACUACUUGAAAUGAUACACCAAGCACCGAAAGUGGGAUCUUUACCAAGUGGAAUGGUUAUGUUUUUCUCUCUGAUGAUUGAUCUUUAGUACAUUUAGUUUAUGUAAUACGUAAUAAUUCUGUUUUGUAGGUUGUAACAAACGAUAUUGACUUUAAUUGGCUUACUUACCAACCAGUACUACCAUUGGACCAGUAGGUGGUUUUCACUACUUGAUUGAUGGCACCUUCUCUCAAAUCCUAAUUCCUUCUAUUCGCUCCUGAUGAGCAAUCACACCAACAAACUCAGCAGGUACUUGAAAAUGGAUGAUUUGUUCAUGAAUCCAUUCUGUGAUGUGUUUGCUUAUACCAGUUGUUCGGGAGAUGGCACAACGAACAACACGAAUGAAACUACACCAACACCGAAUACAAAGAAGAUUCUGUCUGAUGCAAUGAGCGUAGAAAGUGCUUAUGGUACCUAUAACAAGCCUCCUAAACUGAUGGCGAUCGAAGAUUAUAAUCGGUGGGCUACGAGAUUUGAGGAGUGGCUUAAAGCAUUCGCAUUUCCAAGCUGGAAAAGUUUAAAG
RNAcentral lists this long non-coding RNA (1219 nucleotides) under Helianthus annuus (common sunflower). RNAcentral's name for it is "sRNA HanXRQr2_Chr15g0722401". Lineage: Eukaryota; Viridiplantae; Streptophyta; Magnoliopsida; Asterales; Asteraceae. The record is from RNAcentral.